UAGGUUGAAUGAUACCUUUGUUCUAAGUUCUUUGAGAAAUCUGUAAACUGCUUUCCACAGUUACUGAACUAAUUGACUUUCCCACCAGCACUGUAUAAGUGGCUUCUUUUUCUCCACAGCCUCACCAAUAUCUGUUA
Molecule: long non-coding RNA, 137 nt
Organism: Sapajus apella (tufted capuchin)
Lineage: Eukaryota; Metazoa; Chordata; Mammalia; Primates; Cebidae
Exons: 3
Source: RefSeq, a predicted model, not a curated record